Molecule: ribosomal RNA, 358 nt
Filed under: uncultured bacterium
Lineage: Bacteria
Description: bacterial SSU rRNA
Rfam family: Bacterial small subunit ribosomal RNA
Source: RNAcentral
GGACCCGCACAAGUAGUGGAGCAUGUGGUUUAAUUCGAAGAUACGCGCAGAACCUUACCAACACUUGACAUGUUCGUCGCGACUCUAAGAGAUUAGAGUUUUCGGUUCGGCCGGACGAAACACAGGUGCUGCAUGGCUGUCGUCAGCUCGUGUCGUGAGAUGUUGGGUUAAGUCCCGCAACGAGCGCAACCCUCACUUUUAGUUGCCAUCAUUAAGUUGGGCACUCUGAAAGAACUGCCAGUGAUAAGCUGGAGGAAGGUGGGGAUGACGUCAAGUCCUCAUGGCCCUUACGUGUUGGGCUACACACGUGCUACAAUGGUAGUGACAAUGGGUUAAUCCCAAAAGCUAUCUCAGUUCG